UACGAAGGGGGCUAGCGUUGUUCGGAAUUACUGGGCGUAAAGCGCACGUAGGCGGAUAUUUAAGUCAGGGGUGAAAUCCCGGGGCUCAACCCCGGAACUGCCUUUGAUACUGGGUAUCUCGAGUCCGAGAGAGGUGAGUGGAAUUCCGAGUGUAGAGGUGAAAUUCGUAGAUAUUCGGAGGAACACCAGUGGCGAAGGCGGCUCACUGGACUGGUAUUGACGCUGAGGUGCGAAAGCGUGGGGAGCAAACAGG
Molecule: ribosomal RNA, 253 nt
Filed under: uncultured bacterium
Lineage: Bacteria
Description: partial 16S ribosomal RNA
Rfam family: Bacterial small subunit ribosomal RNA
Source: RNAcentral